CAGUAGCCACGGUAAUACGAAGGGGGCUAGCGUUGUUCGGAAUCACUGGGCGUAAAGCGCACGUAGGCGGACUUUUAAGUCAGGGGUGAAAUCCCAAGGCUCAACCUUGGAACUGCCUUUGAUACUGGAAGUCUUGAGUUCGGGAGAGGUGAGUGGAACUGCGAGUGUAGAGGUGAAAUUCGUAGAUAUUCGCAAGAACACCAGUGGCGAAGGCGGCUCACUGGCCCGAUACUGACGCUGAGGUGCGAAAGCGUGGGGAGCAAACAGGAUUAGAGACCCCAGUAGUCCCUGUCUCUUAUAC
Molecule: ribosomal RNA, 301 nt
Filed under: uncultured bacterium
Lineage: Bacteria
Description: partial 16S ribosomal RNA
Rfam family: Bacterial small subunit ribosomal RNA
Source: RNAcentral